UACGAAGGGUGCAAGCGUUAAUCGGAAUUACUGGGCGUAAAGGGCGCGUAGGCGGUGUGUCAAGUCAGGCGUGAAAGCCCCGGGCUCAACCUGGGAACCGCGCUUGAGACUGGCACGCUCGAGUUCGGGAGAGGAUGGUGGAAUUCCCAGUGUAGAGGUGAAAUUCGUAGAUAUUGGGAAGAACACCGAUGGCGAAGGCAGCCAUCUGGACCGACACUGACGCUGAGGCGCGAAAGCGUGGGGAGCAAACAGG
This 253-nucleotide ribosomal RNA is filed under the name uncultured bacterium. Its description in RNAcentral is "partial 16S ribosomal RNA". It matches the Rfam family "Bacterial small subunit ribosomal RNA", at positions 524 to 776 of the family's 1533-position model. The record is from RNAcentral.